CCUCCUUUGCGCUCCUCGAGUAGAACCAUCACAAAUUGUGGUACCGUCAUCAUCUUCUGGCGGCCAUGCAGAUAUAAUCCAGAAGCUGGAUGCCAUUGAAACCCGACUCACUGCCAUUAAAAAGUCCCUAACAGACAAACCCUAUUCUGCAUUUCGAUUACGUUCCCACUCUACGCUCCGUCUGAGUCGAAAAUAGGUAUUCUGAGUUACGAUUGGAUUGAAAGAAGAAGAGGAAGAGCUGUAGCUCUUUCGAAGUCAGCUGUUUGCCUUGAAACGUGUAAAAAUGAAACACAACAAAGCAAAAAUACACAAAUUAUUGUUGGUUUAUUAAAAUAAAGAAAUUAUAUCGCGUUUUUUUUAAACACUAACAUGGAAUUAGUAGCGGCAGCGAUAUUACUUGAGGAGGAGAGCAAUGCAUUAUUCAAAAUAUGCCCUACAUUACUCUAUUAAAUAAAAACAAUUGCAUUCAGUGCAUUUUAC
Long non-coding RNA from Bactrocera tryoni, 480 nucleotides. RefSeq lists it as uncharacterized. The record is from RefSeq and is a predicted model, not a curated record. The transcript is spliced from 3 exons. Lineage: Eukaryota; Metazoa; Arthropoda; Insecta; Diptera; Tephritidae.